AAGUCGUAACAAGGUCUCCGUUGGUGAACCAGCGGAGGGAUCAUUAUCGAGUUGCAAAACUCCAACCCUUUGUGAACAUACCUCAGUCGUUGCUUCGGCGGUGGACGGCCUGUUUUUCGGAACGGCCGGAAGCCGCCGGAGGUUUCAAACUCGUAUUUUUUUAGUGUAUCUCUGAGCCUGAAAACAAAUAAUCAAAACUUUCAACAACGGAUCUCUUGGUUCUG
Molecule: unclassified non-coding RNA, 224 nt
Filed under: Pseudophialophora tarda
Lineage: Eukaryota; Fungi; Ascomycota; Sordariomycetes; Magnaporthales; Magnaporthaceae
Description: partial internal transcribed spacer region
Rfam family: Eukaryotic small subunit ribosomal RNA (bases 1-46)
Source: RNAcentral